GAUUAUGAAGCAGAGAAUGAGAGGUAUGUGAUCUGGGCUUUGACUGCUGGAAUCUUGAUUAGGACCGCAUCAAUUGUUUACCAGCGCCCACCAGCCUUUCUGGAGCGGAAGCCCAAAUUCUGGAGCAGGAUUGUUAACUAGGAUAUGGCACCAUAAAUCCAGAGAAUUCCUUGAGGGAACUCUCUCGUGAGGUUGUUCUUCUCUUUAUAGUCAUUAUUAGAAUCCAUGAAACUCACCAUUCGGACUAUCAACUUCAAUAUCAUUGAAAUGUAAUUCAGAUUCUGAAUUCGCAUAUAAUAUCACGCUUUUCGCCAAGUUCAAUGUUCU
Molecule: long non-coding RNA, 327 nt
Filed under: Vitis vinifera (wine grape)
Lineage: Eukaryota; Viridiplantae; Streptophyta; Magnoliopsida; Vitales; Vitaceae
Description: long non-coding RNA (VVIN_LNC003111)
Source: RNAcentral